Molecule: unclassified non-coding RNA, 153 nt
Filed under: uncultured Periconia
Lineage: Eukaryota; Fungi; Ascomycota; Sordariomycetes; Microascales; Halosphaeriaceae
Description: sequence contains ITS1
Source: RNAcentral
CGUAUUAGGGCUGCCCUCGGCGCUCUUUACACACCCACCCUUUGCCUAUGCGUACCUCUGAUAGCUUCCUCGGCGGGCUCGCCCCGCCGACAGGAACCCCCAUAACCCCUUGCAUCGUACACGAACACUUCCGAUACCCACCUUAAAUUAUCA